RNAcentral lists this microRNA precursor (53 nucleotides) under Melibe leonina. RNAcentral's name for it is "microRNA mle-mir-125 precursor". Its record names the gene mle-mir-125. Lineage: Eukaryota; Metazoa; Mollusca; Gastropoda; Nudibranchia; Dendronotidae. The record is from miRBase by way of RNAcentral.
UCCCUGAGACCACAAUUUGUGCUCUGGCGAGCCAGGUUGUGGCCUUAGGAAUC